Molecule: ribosomal RNA, 465 nt
Filed under: uncultured bacterium
Lineage: Bacteria
Description: bacterial SSU rRNA
Rfam family: Bacterial small subunit ribosomal RNA
Source: RNAcentral
CCUACGGGUCGCACCAGUGGGGAAUAUUGCACAAUGGGCGCAAGCCUGAUGCAGCCAUGCCGCGUGUACGAAGAAGGCCUUCGGGUUGUAAAGUACUUUCAGCGGGGGGGAAGGUGUUGUGGUUAAUAACCACAGCAAUUGACGUUACCCGCAGAAGAAGCACCGGCUAACUCCGUGCCAGCAGCCGCGGUAAUACGGAGGGUGCAAGCGUUAAUCGGAAUUACUGGGCGUAAAGCGCACGCAGGCGGUCCGUCAAGUCGGAUGUGAAAUCCCCGGGCUCAACCUGGGAACUGCAUUCGAAACUGGCAGGCUAGAGUCUUGUAGAGGGGGGUAGAAUUCCAGGUGUAGCGGUGAAAUGCGUAGAGAUCUGGAGGAAUACCGGUGGCGAAGGCGGCCCCCUGGACAAAGACUGACGCUCGGGUGCGAAAGCGUGGGGAGCAAACAGGAUUAGAUACCCCGGUAGUC